AGUCUUUUACUGAGCCUAUGCCUGUGGACUGCAAACUUCACAAGUGUUUUUAUUUCUUUUCUCUCUCCUGGUGGGAUUGGAUGGUUAGAAAGGACUGGAGUUGGGAAUUUUCCUUCCUUCCAUCAGUUAGGCCCUGAUAAUACCCCCAGCAGGACAGAUGAAGGUUAACUACCUUCUCCUGAGGGCAGACCUUGUUAAGAAGAACAGAGUGAUCUGGAGUAUUUCAAAAUGGCUCCUUCCCCCUGCCUCUGCUGGCAGCUCAAGGGGAUUUUUCUCUGAUAUUUACUAUGGGAGCCUAGUUGGCCUCACGGUGUUUGAGCUCAAGGUGGUAAAUCUCACAAAACUGUGGGGGCCCCCUAUGACUUGGUUCCCCCGGAGUUUUUUAUUCUCAGAUGUCCACAAUGAACCUCCAGCAUUUUCAUCAAUUUCAGCCUGGUUUCCCUACCCUGACUCUGCUUCAUGAGAUGCAUGAGGAGAUUUUUCUGUAGCAUUCGCUGUGAGGACCUGUAGAACUUCCGGAGAUUUAAGUGCCUUUUCUCCUGGAUAAAUGCUUUGUGAAGGAAUUGCUGGAUCAUAAUUCUGGAAGCUAGAAGUCUGAAAUCAAGGUAUCAACAGACGAUGCUCCUUCUGAAGGCUCCAGGGAAGACUCUCCCCUUGCCUCUUGGAGCUUCUGGGUGCUGCUGGCCAUCAUUGCUAUUCCUAGGCUUGGAGCUGCAUCACCCCAAUCUCUGUCCCUUCUUCACACAGCCUUCUCCUUUGUGUGUAAAUAUCUCCACUUGUUUGUGUCACUUCCUAAACGGAGACCAGUGCUUGGAUUUAGGGCUCACUCUGAUCUAAUGUGACCUCCUCUUAACUCGAUUAUACCUGCAAAGAGUAUUUCCAAAUGAGGUCACAUCAACAGGUGCCAGAUGGACAUGACUUUUGGGGAGACACUACUAUGAAAACCAUGCUUAGCUCAAAGGCCAUACAAAAACAGGCCACAGGAUGAAUUCCGCUCACGUGCUAUCAUCUGCUGACCCCUGGUAUGAGUAUUGUAAUGUCAAACCAAACUUAGAGUAAACUCAAAGAUUUUAUUUCCGACUGUAUAACAACUAGGAAAAGGUCAAAUAUUUUAAAAAGUCAUUUUCAGAGACUGGCGCAUUUUGUCAUGUAUAGCACACCAGGGACCGCAUCCAGUUGAGGAAGCUAGAAGCAGAGGAGGUAGAAUGAACCCUAAUAAUAUGUGAUUAAAAAACAGAGUCCUGUCAAGUGAGGCAAAACAACCAUAAUUUGAGAUGGCUAGCAUUCUUAUUUUUACUUCAAAAAACAAACAAAAAAAAGUGUUUUUAUGUUAACAUCUG
Molecule: long non-coding RNA, 1340 nt
Filed under: Equus caballus (horse)
Lineage: Eukaryota; Metazoa; Chordata; Mammalia; Perissodactyla; Equidae
Description: lncRNA (ENSECAG00000049579.1)
Source: RNAcentral